RNAcentral lists this ribosomal RNA (449 nucleotides) under uncultured bacterium. Its description in RNAcentral is "bacterial SSU rRNA". It matches the Rfam family "Bacterial small subunit ribosomal RNA", at positions 45 to 524 of the family's 1533-position model. The record is from RNAcentral.
GGCCUAACACAUGCAAGUCGAGCGGGCACUUUCGGGUGUCAGCGGCGGACGGGUGAGUAACGCGUGGGAACGUGCCCUCUGGUUCGGAAUAACUCAGGGAAACUUGAGCUAAUACCGGAUACGCCCUGUGGCUUUGGUGCUGCUGGGGAAAGGCUUGCUGCCGGAGGAUCGGCCCGCGUCUGAUUAGCUAGUUGGCGGGGUAACGGCCCACCAAGGCGACGAUCAGUAGCUGGUCUGAGAGGAUGAUCAGCCACACUGGGACUGAGACACGGCCCAGACUCCUACGGGAGGCAGCAGUGGGGAAUAUUGGACAAUGGGCGCAAGCCUGAUCCAGCCAUGCCGCGUGAGUGAUGAAGGCCUUAGGGUUGUAAAGCUCUUUUAUCCGGGACGAUAAUGACGGUACCGGAGGAAUAAGCCCCGGCUAACUUCGUGCCAGCAGCCGCGGUAAU